RNAcentral lists this ribosomal RNA (207 nucleotides) under uncultured bacterium. RNAcentral's name for it is "partial 16S ribosomal RNA". It matches the Rfam family "Bacterial small subunit ribosomal RNA", at positions 568 to 774 of the family's 1533-position model. The record is from RNAcentral.
CAUGUAGGCGGAUUAAUAAGUUUGAAGUGAAAUCCUAUAGCUUAACUAUAGAACUGCUUUGAAAACUGUUAAUCUAGAAUGUGGGAGAGGUAGAUGGAAUUUCUGGUGUAGGGGUAAAAUCCGUAGAGAUCAGAAGGAAUACCGAUUGCGAAGGCGAUCUACUGGAACAUUAUUGACGCUGGGAUGCGAAAGCGUGGGGAGCAAACA